AUUUAUUAAAAAGCUGCUUUUGUGGUAAUAUUAUGUUGGUUUGAAAGGAGGAAAUAGCAAGGUUAAGAUGCGUGAAUAAUUUCUGUAUAUAUGUAUAAGCUAAUACAAACACUGAUGUAUGACAGUAUAAAAUGCUUUCAUGUUUGUGAUGUCCAGUGAUGUGGAGAAUAUAAGCCUUAAACCCGUUCGAUUGCAUGGUAAUUAAAAUUGGCAUAAUAAAAAUAGCUUAUUGGGGGAAAGGAAAAUUAAUGAUCUCUUCUACCUGUGUUCUUUACCAAAUUCUUGCAUCUGGUUCUAGAAAAGAAAAAAGAAUCAAACUCCAUAUAUUAGCUUCCAAAAUAUCCAUAUUGCACAGAAGGCUUACAUUGCUUAGACUACAGACUAGGCCUGAAGCCUUCAUAAUUUUCAAAAAUCUUUCUGUUUCACUAUAAACAUCCUGAAAUAGCAAAGGUUUAAAGGCCAUUUCCAUCAACAAUGUUUUAUUCUAAAUGUUUUUAUUUCUACUUGCUAAUGGUUUAAUAAUAGUUGUAUUUGGAGAUCUCUUACAUGACCUAAUUUAUUUUAAAUAUUUGAAUGGUUUUGGUGGAUGGUAUAGAAAAUUUGAUUAUUAUUUUAUUUAAACUAUAGAUUUCAGGUAUAUUUAUUUUGUUAAGAAAAAUCAACAGAGGAAUAUUCCAUUUGGUCUUUUUUUUUUUUUGACUUGAAGAAUUCAGCUUUUAAUUUAUAUCAUAACUCCUACUAAAGUGCCUGACACACAGUAGGUAUUUCAUAGAGUUUCCUGAAUUUGAGUAUUGAGUGGGGUUUUACAUAUAUAUAUUUAUAUAUGUUUCCUGCAUUAAAACUAGAAAAAGACGUGCAAAGUGAAGCACAUCUAUAAUCACACAUUUAUAAUCAGAUUUCCAAAAGCCAAUAGAACAUGACAGACAUAUGUAGCCACCGAAAUGACAAUCAUUCAUUCAAUAGAUUACUCAUUAGCAUCUUUUGCCUGCAAGUCACUAUUCUAUAUUCAGGGAGAGCAGCUAUGAACGAUGCACUGCCUUUGGAGGUUUAUCUAUGUUUGAGACAGAGUGACUGACCACACAGACGUGUGUGCCAUAACGUCCCACAGAUGAGGAAGAAAGCAAGUGUAGAGAAAGAGUCACAACGAGAGAGACAGCGGUGAGAGGCUGGGGCAAAGAGAAAGGCUAUGGGAGAAGAGGGGUUAGCAGGGCUUCACUACAUGUGUGAAAAGAGAGAAAGCCAAAUAGAGAGACCUGCAAGAUGUUUACAGAGCUGACAUGGAGCGUUUGUGUGCUGUGUAGUAGGUAUAGGAGACCCAGUAGCUUGUGCGGGGCUUUAUUUUAUCCCACAAUUGGAACUUUACUGGCGUCCUCCCAGGAACACUUAAAUAAUUUUGCGUGGAUUUUGCCCCUUCUAAUCUUUGCUGCACAUAUUUUUAAAUGGAUGGCUCAUUCUAGGCUUUUGGGUAUGUAGUGACUUCUUCCAACGGAGUCUUAGAGAGACAUCUAGUUAUAGUGUUUAUGAGGAUCACAAAGGGGAGAUGUUAGACAUAACUAUGUUGUAGGGGGAAAGAAAGGGGAAAUUAGCUAGAUUUAAGGCAAUGACAGAGUGCACAGGGAUCGUAGCCUGAAAUACAGAGAAAGACAGAUCUUAGAGCCCUGAAAAGUAUUUGAACAUUUUUGGACCUCUGUUAGGAUAUGGCAUUAUUUUAUAUACUGAGACAACCUGAAUUUCUCUUAGUAAGUAAUGUCAAGUCUAAGUCUAUUGAAAAGACAUUCAAAAAAUUAAUGGACCAUGCUGGACUAUUUGCCUCUUUUGUACUCAUGAAGACUUAGAAUUUGAAAAUAUUUAUUAGUUAUCUGCUUAACACUAACACCAAGUUGAUCAGGUUGACUCUUGAGUUUAUUGAUGCCUUUUCCAGCCAGAAGAGAUGGAAGAGCCUCAGUCUCAUACCCUGUGUAGACACUAACUUCCCAUCUGCAUUUGAAAACAGCUCAUUUGGUUUGUAUUGAUUUGAUCAACACUAUCUACGCAUGUCCCAUGACAAUUGUUUGUUAUUUGUUAAGGCAAAGUAUCCCUCUUAUGGGCAUGUGUUUCUGUUAGAAUGUGCUCUCUUAGGUUGCUAAAUAAAGUCCACAGGGUACCCCUCCCCUUUUAGUUUGGUGUAUUGGUCCUAUGCCUGUGCUGCAGAGAGGCCCUUAGAAGAUUCCUGGUCCCUCUGUCUCAUGGCCGCCCUUCAGGUAAUUGAGAACAGUUACUCUCUUUCACAGGCAGUUCCUCCAACUGCCCUUCAUAUAUCAUGACUUCAGAUCCAUUUCAACCUGACUGAAUGUUAAACAGGCAGAACCCUUGAUGUCAAGGGACUGUCUUCAUCCUACAUGUAGAGAGGUGUGUGGACACUUAAGUGAUAAGUUUUCUCAAAAAUAUAUUCAAGAUAUAUGUUUAUUCUACUAUUGUAAAUUUCAAUAAAUAAACAAAUAAACAAGUGAAU
Molecule: long non-coding RNA, 2491 nt
Filed under: Mus musculus (house mouse)
Lineage: Eukaryota; Metazoa; Chordata; Mammalia; Rodentia; Muridae
Description: long non-coding RNA chr12:53148514-53151005
Source: RNAcentral